This 693-nucleotide ribosomal RNA is filed under the name Russula tenuipilosa. RNAcentral describes it as "eukaryotic LSU rRNA". The stretch from base 242 to 395 matches the Rfam family "5.8S ribosomal RNA". The record is from RNAcentral. Lineage: Eukaryota; Fungi; Basidiomycota; Agaricomycetes; Russulales; Russulaceae.
AAAAGUCGUAACAAGGCAUCCGAAGAAGAACCGGCGGAAGGAGCAUUAUUGAACUACCAAGGUGUGAGGGGUGUCGCUGGCCUUUCAAAGGUCGUGCACGCCCGAGUGCCUCUCAUACAAUCCAUCUCACCCCUUUGUGCAUCACCGCGUGGGCCCCUCCUCACAGGGGCCUGCGUUAUCACAUAAAACUUUUAACAAUGUGUAGAAUGUAUUUCUUUUUGCGAUAGUAUGCAGUCAAUAUAACUUUCAACAACGGAUCUCUUGGCUCUCGCAUCGAUGAAGAACGCAGCGAAAUGCGAUAUGUAAUGUGAAUUGCAGAAUUCAGUGAAUCAUCGAAUCUUUGAACGCACCUUGCGCCCCUUGGCAUUCCGAGGGGCACACCCGUUUGAGUGUCGUGAAAUGUUCAAAACCCUUUUUCUUUUUGAGAGAGGAUUUUGGAAUUGGAGGAUCAAUGCUCGUUCUUGCUUUCGUGAGGAUGAGCUCCUCUUAAAGGAAUUAGUGGGGUUUGCUCUGUUGAUCCUUGACGUGAUAAGACAUUUCUACGUUUUGGAUUUGACACCGUUCAUCCACUUCUAAUCGUCCCAUGGACAAACAAUGGUGUCUCGGUUCAUCACUGGGGCCCAUGAAAUGAAACCUUGACCUCAAAUCGGGUGAGACUACCCGCUGAACUUAAGCAUAUCAAUAAGCGGAGGA